CUUGUUGUAAAACAGGAAGCGGUGUGGCGGUAGAGGAAAGUAGCUAGCCUGGUGGCUAACGUGAUUGGAGUCUGAGUGCCGUGAAACGAAGUGGCAACAGAGUAGUUUGGGAGGAAAAGCUGUUACAACGCCAUUGAGUACACCUCGGUUUAAACGUGUGGUCGCCAUGUCCGAGACAUACGAUUUCCUGUUUAAGUUCCUUGUGAUUGGCAGCGCGGGGACUGGGAAAUCCUGCCUCCUUCAUCAGUUUAUUGAGAAUAAGUUCAAGCAAGACUCCAAUCACACCAUCGGUGUGGAAUUCGGUUCGAGAGUUGUCAAUGUUGGUGGAAAAACAGUCAAACUGCAGAUCUGGGAUACGGCAGGACAGGAGCGUUUCAGGUCAGUGACUCGUAGCUAUUAUCGGGGCGCAGCUGGGGCUCUCCUUGUCUACGACAUCACGAGUCGAGAGACCUACAAUGCUCUGACUAACUGGCUGACGGAUGCUCGGACACUGGCCAGCCCCAACAUUGUCAUCAUCCUUUGCGGCAACAAGAAAGAUUUGGAUGCAGACCGUGAGGUCACCUUUCUGGAAGCAUCUCGUUUUGCCCAGGAGAAUGAGUUGAUGUUUUUGGAGACGAGCGCAUUAACUGGGGAGAAUGUCGAAGAGGGUUUUCUCAAAUGUGCCCGCACGAUUCUUAAUAAGAUAGAGUCUGGUGAGCUGGACCCUGAAAGGAUGGGCUCUGGUAUCCAGUAUGGCGAUGCGUCCCUGAGGCAGUUGAGGCAGCCACGGGGCUCUGCUGCACAAAACAAGCAGCAGUGUAACUGCUAGGGCUGGGACACACUCCCUGUCCCUGCACACAACCUCUCCUGCUUCAGGUCAGCUCCAGGUGUGUCUGGGUGUCAUCCUUUCCCCCUUAAACCUGCUGAAACACCUAGAAACAUCUGGAUCACUUUUUAUGAAGUCAAUCUGCAACCUGCAUCUGCAACCACUGAGUUUGUGGAGUGACCCAGUGGUCAUGGAAAGGCACCUCUGAUCAAGUAAAGGGAUGGUAAAAGUGGUGUGGAGGAAUCUUGCAGAUUUAACCUUAUCCUGUGAUGUGUGUGUGUGUGUGUGUGUGUGUGUGUGUGUCUGUGUGUGUGUGUACACAAACACACUCGCAUUGUUCGUGUAGAGUAAACAGUCAUCAGCCUAAUCUCUGUGCACUGGGCUGAAGUGUAGAUAAAAACAUUCUCUAUAUUUCAUACAACGUCACUGACAUCAGCACAUUAGUUGACUUGCGUAUUCCCUGUUUAAAUGAAGGCUUAUCCAAUUCCUAGUAAAUAUUCUUUAAAAUGUCGACAGGGUGGCUGCUUGAAAGCAGUCGAAACUAGUUAUUCGAGUUUAUACUGCACAGACCAGUUUUGGGGAAAGUUGACCAUUUCCAUGAAUUCCGCAGCAUUGCCCUGGCUCUGAGAUGAUCUUGCUUGUACGGUACAAUCUGUGUUUUUAGUGAAGGUGCAGUAAAUGUAGGCUAAACCUUCUAUUUCCUAUAGAUCGUUGUGUCUGCUAUGCACCUAGAUAUAAAUAUUUGCAGCUGAGAACUGUAAGCACAAAGGGGAGAUGGUUGAUCUUCCUCUCCAGAAUUGUUGGUGAUCAAGAUUUAGUGCAUAUCAAUUGUUCACUGCAGAAUGGCUUGUGUAGGUUAUCACACUGAUCUCUUAACCUGCAGAAACCACUUUGCACUGGCUGUGUUAUUAUCCAAUGUAUCUGGCUGUGUUAUUUAUUGAUAUGAAACAAGCCACUAACCUUCUGCAUAUCGAAAAUUUUUAUUUUUAUUUUAUUGAUUUAUCCUUAAACAGAAAGACAACUUGAUGUCCUAUAGUUUAAUGUCGCCAAGCUCCAUGGCCCCAAAAUAUAGCACUCUAUUAUGUUGAAGUGAAAAUGCUAGGAAAUAGUUUUUUUGUUUGUUUGUUUCUGUGCACAGAAAUCUAGAAUAAUACUAUCCCAAAAGAUUUAGGAGGCUUUUUUGCACUGUGUGAUAAGUUGAGAACCAUUACACACCACAGAGACCAGAAGUCUUCACAAGGCCACUCCACUAGGGGAAUAGCAGUAUGAAUGGUUAGAUAUGUUUGUUCGCCUGCUCUUGCACACCAAACCUUUUUCAGCUUCGGUGUUUUAAAAAUCGUCUCUGUGAUUAUGUGAAGGUUCUCUUUCUGUUCUUUGUUCUUUUUUUUUUUUUUCUUUUUUUUUUUUAACCCUCUCUGCAAGUGCACUUUUUGACUGUUAAUGUACUGUACCUAUAGAACUGUAAAAUUUGCAGUAAUCAAAAUACUAUAUAGUGACAAUUAUUAUAAGGAGUAAGCAUUCUUUACUAAAAAAAAAUAAUAAUAAAUAAAUAAUUAGUCCAGUACUAUUUCAGUGGUCCAAAAUGAUGUUACUAUGGUUACGCCUAGGUAGUUGGUGAAGACAGUGUAUUGCAAAAUACUGAGCAAUUUAGUUUAAUUCUCACACUGCCUGCAUGCCCUCGGUUCACUGACUUUGUCUGUGCAACUUGAGGGGUAGAAAUCAUUUAGGGGUUAUAUUUAAUAAGGAUUUAACUUCUAUCUUACCUGUUCUGAAAUGUUUUAGUACUAUAACUGGGCAUUUACAGAUGAUAAAUCACUUGACAAACAGCAUUUCUUGACAGUAAAUUGGCACACAUGUUUUGGCAGAUUGAUUUGUUCCUGUAAAUUACAAUCAUGUAUAUGAUUCAAACAACAUGACCUAUAUGCUUAAGCAUAUUACUGCUAACCAAAAAAUGAAACCUGGUCUUUUUGUGUUGAUUUGGACAGCAGUGUCUCUGAUUACAUCUGUCUUUACUCUGAAUGUUUAAAGACUUGCCCAUGUACUGCAGAAACUCAUUUGUUGCUUAGCAACCAGUGUGGUUUUUGUUCACCCAUGAAUACUGUAUAUCUGAAUCAUCCAUGAUGUAAAUAAUAUUGAACUUGUCUAUUGGAUUGUUCGGGGGGAGGGUGCUUGUUACAUUUUAAGGUUUAACAACUAUAAGUAAAGAUUGCUUGUUUUUUUAUGUUA
Ictalurus punctatus (channel catfish) is the source of this 3031-nucleotide RNA transcript. It is a transcript of the gene named RAB4B, member RAS oncogene family, with no coding region annotated. The transcript has 8 exons. The record is from RefSeq and is marked provisional. Lineage: Eukaryota; Metazoa; Chordata; Actinopteri; Siluriformes; Ictaluridae.